UACAGAGGGUGCGAGCGUUAAUCGGAAUUACUGGGCGUAAAGCGUGCGUAGACGGUUAUUUAAGUCGGGUGCGAAAGCCCCGGGCUCAACCUGGGAAUUGCAUUCGAUACUGGAUAGCUAGAGUUCGGCAGAGGGAAGCGGAAUUUCGGGUGUAGCGGUGAAAUGCGUAGAUAUCCGAAGGAACAUCAGUGGCGAAAGCGGCUUCCUGGACCAGAACUGACGAUCAGGCACGAAAGCGUGGGGAGCAAACAGG
Molecule: ribosomal RNA, 253 nt
Filed under: uncultured bacterium
Lineage: Bacteria
Description: partial 16S ribosomal RNA
Rfam family: Bacterial small subunit ribosomal RNA
Source: RNAcentral